GUCCCAUAUAUGGUGAUUUCAUAAGACACAGAGGUUGCCAUAUCAACUAUAUGAGCUCAUAACCACCAGAUCAUAUAAGUAAAAGUACAGCAGGUAGCAUCAUUUCACAAAUUCAAGUACCAUCUUCGGAGACAGAUUGUGCUGGCUUCGCGGAAUGACAUGCUCCUCUUGAUCCUCUACUAGACUUUUAACAUCACCAAAACCCCAGAAAAUGACGCGAUGUGGCUGCAGGCCUCCCUAUCGCAGAAGACGUAAAAGAGGGGGGUUGGCAGGUCAGAGAGGAGGAAGAAGGGGAAAGAAAGGGAGACGAGGUAAAGCAAUGAUCCUCAUGGCAUUGUUAACAAAUGAACAAAAAAAAGCAGUAGUUCUUUGUGGUCUAGGGAAACAUGCAUUAGAAUAAGGGCAGAGUGGCCAGUUUUGGGUCCCGCCAAUGCCUUGCUUGAGUGCAUGAUGUAGAUGUUUAAAAAGAAGUGUUUGCAGGUGGGGGGAGAAACUCAAACAAUAUUUUGCACUUUUGUUUCCGCAGUGUCGGUAGCGCACACAGUGUACUACUACAGGAAAGUCAGAUAGAGCUCCGAAGCCCUUCCUUUCUAUCAUCCAGCAUUUCCAGAAAUGCCAGGCAACAUCACCAAGAUUUCUGCCUCAUGAAUGAACCACAGUUCCAGCAAAGCCAGGCCGACUGAUGUUCUGAGAUGCUGACGCCCUCCAAAGAGGAGCAAUGUGUCAUUAAACCUGAAGCUGCAACAUCUUUCCUG
Podarcis lilfordi (Lilford's wall lizard) is the source of this 755-nucleotide non-coding RNA. NCBI's taxonomy places the organism in Eukaryota, Metazoa, Chordata, Lepidosauria, Squamata, Lacertidae. The record is from the annotation of a GenBank genome assembly.